AUUGAGCCUUGAUGUGUAGGAUAGGUGGGAGGCUUUGAAGUGUGGACGCCAGUCUGCAUGGAGCCGACCUUGAAAUACCACCCUUUAAUGUUUGAUGUUCUAACGUUGGCCCGUAAUCCGGGUUGCGGACAGUGUCUGGUGGGUAGUUUGACUGGGGCGGUCUCCUCCUAAAGAGUAACGGAGGAGCACGAAGGUUGGCUAAUCCUGGUCGGACAUCAGGAGGUUAGUGCAAUGGCAUAAGCCAGCUUGACUGCGAGCGUGACGGCGCGAGCAGGUGCGAAAGCAGGUCAUAGUGAUCCGGUGGUUCUGAAUGGAAGGGCCAUCGCUCAACGGAUAAAAGGUACUCCGGGGAUAACAGGCUGAUACCGCCCAAGAGUUCAUAUCGACGGCGGUGUUUGGCACCUCGAUGUCGGCUCAUCACAUCCUGGGGCUGAAGUAGGUCCCAAGGGUAUGGCUGUUCGCCAUUUAAAGUGGUACGCGAGCUGGGUUUAGAACGUCGUGAGACAGUUCGGUCCCUAUCUGCCGUGGGCGCUGGAGAACUGAGGGGGGCUGCUCCUAGUACGAGAGGACCGGAGUGGACGCAUCACUGGUGUUCGGGUUGUCAUGCCAAUGGCACUGCCCGGUAGCUAAAUGCGGAAGAGAUAAGUGCUGAAAGCAUCUAAGCACGAAACUUGCCCCGAGAUG
This 684-nucleotide ribosomal RNA is filed under the name Escherichia coli. RNAcentral describes it as "partial 23S ribosomal RNA". It matches the Rfam family "Bacterial large subunit ribosomal RNA", at positions 2123 to 2806 of the family's 2925-position model. The record is from RNAcentral. Lineage: Bacteria; Pseudomonadati; Pseudomonadota; Gammaproteobacteria; Enterobacterales; Enterobacteriaceae.